This 753-nucleotide long non-coding RNA is filed under the name Vigna radiata. RNAcentral describes it as "long non-coding RNA (VRAD_LNC005103)". The record is from RNAcentral. Lineage: Eukaryota; Viridiplantae; Streptophyta; Magnoliopsida; Fabales; Fabaceae.
UUGAUUUUGCAAUACCACCUAGGGAUAGGGGUAGGACGAUCAAUUGCGCUAACUUCUGUUUAUAAUGCGGUAUUAAUUACUAGGGGAGGCUGGGGAUAACAAGCCAGUAGUUAAUAUUAGGCCCUUUUCACCGAGGGAUCGGGUUAAGGGGAGGCUAAGAAAGUCGCAUAACAAUUAAUUAAUCAAACUAAUAUUCAAGAGGAGUAGGUAAGAGAGAGCGGAUUAGAUGAAAUUGUGAACCCCCAACAACAUCCAUUCAUCCAUUGUUUUCGUUUGUCAAUUGAAUCAACUUUAUUUUGCAUGUUAAUAAUUUUGUUCUCAAAUCCAAUUUAUUAAUUUUUUUUUCAAGUCUUAUUAUUUGAAUUCACGCGAACGAGAAAGCCAUUCGAGUCUCUUGGGAAAACGAUACUUGGUCUUACCAUUUAUAUUACUUGUACGAUUUGGUACACUUGCCAAUUUGUCAACAAUCACUGUCAUAGUCGUUGAUGGCAUACCCCUUGCCAUGACCUAGCACAUUCAUGAAGAGUUAGAGACAUCUAUGGAAGAUGGACCUAUACUCUUUCUCUUAGGCCAUCUUAAGUCAUCAUGAAGAUUUAGUAGAGUAAGAAUAAUUUUGGGCCUUGUAUUUUGGGCCAAGUAGUCUACAUUUUAUUUGGGCUUUGUAUUUUGGGCCAAGUAGUCUAGAUUUUAUUUGGGCUUGGUAUUAUGGACCUAGUAGUGUAGGAUUUCAAUUGGGCCUUGUAUUUUGGGCCA